This is a long non-coding RNA of Salvia splendens (bonfire salvia), 289 nucleotides long. RefSeq lists it as uncharacterized. The transcript is spliced from 2 exons. NCBI's taxonomy places the organism in Eukaryota, Viridiplantae, Streptophyta, Magnoliopsida, Lamiales, Lamiaceae. The record is from RefSeq and is a predicted model, not a curated record.
CCGUGACAGCUCCGAUCACUCCACCACGGAAUAUGUGUUGUACGACAUUCCAGAGUAUAGAAGCGAGUGAGCUCGCUAGUUGGCAGCAGCACGUGUCAAGUCACUACCCUCCCUUUUUGCUGGUAAAGUUGGAGUUCUCACGUGGCAUGCUUAGGCUAACUUUUGGUUGUUUGUAGUUAGUUGGAAAUGUAAGGUUAUAACCUUCUUUUUGCUAAUGGAGUUGUAUAUAUAUAUGUAUCGAAACAGGUUAUCGAUAUUUUGUUAUGUAUAGUAGUAAAUAGUUGCGUUA